Molecule: ribosomal RNA, 460 nt
Filed under: uncultured bacterium
Lineage: Bacteria
Description: partial 16S ribosomal RNA
Rfam family: Bacterial small subunit ribosomal RNA
Source: RNAcentral
CCUACGGGGGGCUGCAGUGAGGAAUAUUGGUCAAUGGGCUUACGCCUGAACCAGCCAAGUCGCGUGAGGGAAGACUGCCCUAUGGGUUGUAAACCUCUUUUGUCAGGGAGCAACGCCGGCUACGUGUAGCCGGACUGAGAGUACCUGAAGAAAAAGCAUCGGCUAACUCCGUGCCAGCAGCCGCGGUAAUACGGAGGAUGCGAGCGUUAUCGGGAUGUAUUGGGUUUAAAGGGUGCGUAGGCGGAAUGCCAAGUCAGCGGUAAAAUCGCGGGGCUCAACCUCGCUCCGCCUUUGAAACUGGCGUUCUAGAGUGGGCGAGAGGGAUGCGGAAUGCGUGGUGUAGCGGUGAAAUGCAUAGAUAUGACGAAGAACUCCGAUUGCGAAGGCAGCAUACCGGCGCCCAACUGACGCUGAAGCACGAAAGCGUGGGUAUCGAACAGGAUUAGAUACCCCUGUAGUC